AUGCACUUUCUUCCCCGUCUUCCACUCUUCUUCCUCCUCUCUUCUUCUUCCUCCUCUCUUCCCCAUCCUCGGCCGCACACCAUUUCCCCCCUCUCAUUGCUCGCCCGCCCGCGCUAUCUUCCUUGCAGACGCAAAUGCGCUGGCCUUCAUGAUUCCAGGACCCGGAAUCAUACCAGCCGAUGGUACCAUAUAACUGGAAUUAACCCAUGCAAGUCGAAGAAGGAUUGGCCGGUGCUGCCGGCUGGUGUCAAGUUCGAUCCCACGAAUCAGGAGCUGAUCGAGCACCUUGAGGCCAAAGUGAGUGCUGACAGCGUGAGAUCUCACCCUCUCAUCGAUUUGUUCAUACCAACCAUCGACAGCGAGCACGGCAUAUGCUACACCCAUCCUGAGAAACUUCCAGGUAUCACACUGAGUGGCCUAAGCAAGCAUUUCUUCCCGCGCAAUUCCAGGGCAUUCAAAAGGGGCACGUGGAUGCGUCGCAAGAUACAGUCGGAGUGCGGCAUGCACGCGAUGUGGCACAACACCGGCAAUACCUUGCCGGUGAUGGUCAACGGCCGGCAGACGGGCAGCAAAAAGGUUCUGGUGCUGCACACCAACAAGAACUUCGACCAGCAGAGGACCAACUGGGUGAUGCACCAGUACCACGUCGGGGACCUGGAGCAAGAGAAGGAGCGGGAGCUGGUCCUCUGCAAGAUUUUCUACCAGACGAACACUAGGGCCAGGAGUAAAAAGAUUAUAAGUCGAGCAAGUUUCAACUGGGCUGUAGACUGCCCAGGCUUGGUUUUGUUUUUAACAGGCCCAGCCCAUGACGACAACGGGGCACAAAGAUCGAGCAGGUACUACUGGCCUCUGGCCCGCCAGCAUUAG
Molecule: ribosomal RNA, 867 nt
Filed under: Triticum aestivum (bread wheat)
Lineage: Eukaryota; Viridiplantae; Streptophyta; Magnoliopsida; Poales; Poaceae
Description: partial small subunit ribosomal RNA
Source: RNAcentral